GACGAACGCUGGCGGCGUGCUUAACACAUGCAAGUCGAACGGAAAGGCCCUUCGGGGUACUCGAGUGGCGAACGGGUGAGUAACACGUGGGUGAUCUGCCCUGCACUUUGGGAUAAGCCUGGGAAACUGGGUCUAAUACCGAAUAGGACCGCGCGCUUCAUGGUGUGUGGUGGAAAGCUUUUGCGGUGUGGGAUGGGCCCGCGGCCUAUCUGCUUGUUGGUGGGGUAAUGGCCUACCAAGGCGACGACGGGUAGCCGGCCUGAGAGGGUGACCGGCCACACUGGGACUGAGAUACGGCCCAGACUCCUACGGGAGGCAGCAGUGGGGAAUAUUGCACAAUGGGCGCAAGCCUGAUGCAGCGACGCCGCGUGAGGGAUGACGGCCUUCGGGUUGUAAACCUCUUUCACCAGGGACGAAGCGCAAGUGACGGUACCUGGAGAAGAAGCACCGGCCAACUACGUG
RNAcentral lists this ribosomal RNA (462 nucleotides) under uncultured bacterium. RNAcentral's name for it is "partial 16S ribosomal RNA". It matches the Rfam family "Bacterial small subunit ribosomal RNA", at positions 28 to 507 of the family's 1533-position model. The record is from RNAcentral.